Long non-coding RNA from Mus musculus (house mouse), 238 nucleotides. RefSeq annotates it as predicted gene, 38460. Lineage: Eukaryota; Metazoa; Chordata; Mammalia; Rodentia; Muridae. The record is from RefSeq and is a predicted model, not a curated record. The transcript is spliced from 3 exons.
AAAGAUUAUCCUGAAAAACUAAAGAGUGGAGCUGUCUUUUAUGGUGACCUGGGAGAGAAGGCUUGCUAGGUGUCCAGGGUGAGCUCCACGAAGAGGUCUGAAGUGCCAUAAAAGGGACAGGAAAGGACAUCUCCAAGAGUGACGUGGUUAAAUGCCAAGAGCCGGCCUCUCUGCUGAAAAUGCAGAGUCAGAAUAAAUCAGCACCAGCAACCCUGGAAGCAUUUCAGAGUUCCGGGGU